UACGGGGGGGGCAAGCGUUGUUCGGAAUUACUGGGCGUAAAGGGCUCGUAGGUGGCCAACUAAGUCAUACGUGAAAUCCCUCGGCUUAACCGGGGAACUGCGCCUGAUACUGGUUGGCUUGAGUUUGGGAGAGGGACGCGGAAUUCCAGGUGUAGCGGUGAAAUGCGCAGAGAUCGGGAGGAACACCCGUAGCGAAGGCGGCGCUCUGGGCCGGUACUGACGCUGAGGAGCGAAAGCGUGGGGAGCAAACAGG
Molecule: ribosomal RNA, 253 nt
Filed under: uncultured bacterium
Lineage: Bacteria
Description: partial 16S ribosomal RNA
Rfam family: Bacterial small subunit ribosomal RNA
Source: RNAcentral